UAUUUUAAAUGAAGUUUCACUCAGUGAUUCAGUGUUAUUAAGUUUAGUGUUUGAUAUGUUAAAACGAAAGUUUGAUUUUGGUGAUUCAGUGUUCUUUAAUUCAAGGUUACAUAUUUUUAACGAGGUUUAAUUUUGGUGCAUCAGUUGCAGGCUCUGCUGAGUUGCAGGGCUCUGCUGCAAUUGUUAAUUCCUUGGUCAUCUGCUGCAAUAGUUCAGCAUGAAGCUCAUUUUAAUUUAUCAUUUUAUAUGAGAUGUCAAAAAGAUUGUUUAACAUGCUUUCUUCAAUUUCAAUUUUCUAUAUUGUAUAUGAGGACUCAGUAAAGUCAAACCGUGGAAGCAAACCUUUAGGAAAUUACUAUAGAAAGAAAAAAGAUGAGUUAAAGAUCGGGGACCAGCCGUAAAUUACUAUAGUGAGAAAAAUUGAAGGCGCAAUUGCGAGAAGAGGGUAGUAGUGGCGGACAAAGACUAUGAUGCUUCAGUAUUUUAAUGGCACCGUUGCCAUCAGUGAUCCUGAAUCACCAGUAUCGACUUCAUUUUCAUGUUUUAAUUUAGCUCCCAGGUGCCAUCCUUGCGCAAGAAAGUUCACAUGGCCAAAAGUUACGGACAAGUCAACUGUCCCCACAAUAUUUUUGACUGGUUAACGGGUCAUUUGACCUUAAAUUGAAAUAUUUCACUGUUGGUUACCUUACAUAUAAGUUCUUCAAAUUGGACCAGAACUUUCGGUUUGUUAAUAGUCAAGAAAGAGUGUUUGCUAUUCAAGUGUUCGAGCUCCACAGAUUGAUAAAGUCACAAAACCGACUUUUGGGUUUCAUGCGCCUUCAAGAUUAGAAGGUAUCCCCCAAUCUCGACCGGAUUUACCCGAAACCUCACAUUUGAUGAAGAUACUGAGAAAUGUGGGGGCAGAGCGGCCUAAUUGGCCCCACGAGGACGAGCCAUUCAUGGGCGUGCACCAAAUGAGGCCAACAUCGCCAUCUCAUAUGGCGUAACCUGCGAAU
This is a long non-coding RNA of Helianthus annuus (common sunflower), 995 nucleotides long. RefSeq lists it as uncharacterized. The record is from RefSeq and is a predicted model, not a curated record. Lineage: Eukaryota; Viridiplantae; Streptophyta; Magnoliopsida; Asterales; Asteraceae. The transcript has 4 exons.